GAUUACUUUUUUCAUAAAAUUUGAUUUUUUUUUUUAACUAAUAUCUCAGUGAUACUUAAUAGAAUAAAAUAUCAAACAUUUUUGAUUAGUAAUUUUAUGAAUUAUAUCAGACUGAAUAAUAAAUUGAAAACACAGUUAAAAAUAUAUUAUUAUGAAAUUAGUUAAUAAUUGAUUUAAUUAUUUAAUUUGAUGAUUAAGAAUACUAAAAAAUAUAAAAAAUUGAUUGAAUAUGUCAAAUCAGUAUUGCUAUUUUAUUCUGUUACGGUCCACUGUAAUCUCUUGGCGUAUCAUGCGUACACCACGCAUGUAUACGUCACAUGCGUGACGUCAUUCACACGCGUCGACGUGCGUAAACGUGCCCUCUUUUUCCUGUGAUCUCUGAUUGGCUCGCUUCCAGUGCUCAAUGAAGUUCUAAGAGACUUUUUGAAACUACCGAAAACCAUAAAGCGUCUUUCGGUAAUGUAAAAAAAAAAUAAAAAAUAAAAAAGAAUGCAUUAAUACUAUAUCUAUCGCAUUAUCGCAUUAAAAAGCAUAAGCGUUUAACUUAUAUCUUAACAACUAAUUUAUAUCAAAACGUAAAAAUUAAGUAUAAUGAUAAAUUAUUUUGCAAUAAUAAAAUAUACGAUUCUUGGAAUUUUGCGAAUAUACAUAAUAUUGUAAAUUUAAAAUAUUAAUUUUUAAUGAAUAUAUGAUUACAUUCUAUUUUGUCUGGUUAUUUUAUAAAUAACAAUUCUUGACCGGACUGUUAGAUGAAAGCUGUAUCGUGAAAGAUACUGUUCCGUGAUAACCCUGAUUUAACUAACUUAUCGUUUAACCUUGAAAGUUUACUACUGCAAUAUAUAUGUUGCAAAAGCCACUUUGAUGUCUGAUCAGUACCGGUCCCAUCGUAAAUUGUGCGCGCGAACUGUAUCCGCUUUUGUGUAUGUGUUUGAAAUUAAUUUCUAUAUCGCUAUGAAUAGAAGAAUGCAGCGUAGCUGACGUUCGAUAAGAUAAGCAAAUCUGUGAUAUUGUGCUUAAAGGGAUUUUAAAUCAUUUAUAAAGAUUAUAUAUAAUUUUUGUUAUAUUAUUACAUAUUUAUAUUUAUCUUGUAUUUUUUCAUUUCAAUUGUUUAUAUUUUUUUUUUAAAGAUUAUUCGACACAAGAAAGAUGAAUAGUUGUUUAUUAUAAAAAAUCAAAUAAGUUGAUAUGUGAAAAUUAAAUAAAUUGAACAUCUUUGAAUUUAAAUAUUAAAUUAAAAUUUUUAUUAGAUAAUUAUUAGAUAAAAUGUUAUUGGUAACUAUCAUAAUAAUAUUUUAAUGAUAAUGCAAAAGUUUGAUUAAGAAUCGAAAAGUCAUUCGAUGUCUAACGCCGCCUAGUUAUUUUUCUUGUUGACGAAAAAUUAAAAUACUUGUUUUAUCUUCGAAAAUGAUAGCAGUUGAUUUAUGACAAUUUAAAAUUGAAUUUACAAUUAUUCAAUAUUGUAAUGUUUUUCCUCAUUUCGUUCAUUAUAUGCAAUUCAGUGAUUUGUUCAUAAUUUUUUUUCUGUACAUAUUUACUUAUUAUUGCCAAGUUUUUAUCGUAUUCCUUAUUUGUUUUCGAAUUUUCAAAAUCAGUUUUAUUUUUUGUUUGCUAUACUUUCUUUUUUUACGUGUAUCAAGUAUUUAUUUAGUUUAAAAUUUUUCAAGUUUUUUUUUUUCAUAUUAUUUCGGCAGAAAUAAAAUGUAUGAUUUUUAUGAGAAAAUUAUUCAUUAAUAAAAGGAUGAAUUUUGAUAUAUUCAUAUAUUUUUAAUUGAUGACAAAAUAAUGGAAUAAUAUGAAUAUUAUUAAUAUAGUGAUAAAUAAGAACUGAAUAUUGAAAGGAAACGAAUUCCUUCGAAUCUUGCUUUUAAAAAGCAUUGAGGAAAGACAAUCCAUAAAAAGAUACAAUUAUCAUUUAACCCGUUCGGUCGGUAAGAGCGAAACGGAAAUGGUGAAACGGGCUCUCGGAGAACAGGGAGCCACUCUGCGUUCACUCGGUGGGUAAUGAAGCGGGUGAACACAGCUGGUGGUAUCUCAGUUUUCUGAGGGCGUUAGCAGCCCAUUGAUUUACCUGCUGAUUCCCUAUGAUGAUUUUAUGGAAGAAAAAUGUGAUAUAGUAAUAACAAAAUCAUAAAAAAUAUUAAGGAAACUAUAUAAAAUAUAAAAUUCUAUUUAGUAUUUAUAAAAUUAUAUAAUUAUUUUAUAUUCAAAAAUUUAUGAAUAUGAAUAUAUGAAGUUGUAAUAAAUGCUAGUUUCGUUUUAAGUAAUAUAUAGAUAUAUCAUGGAUUAUAAACGUUAAAUAUUUACAUUAUCAUAUAGAUUAUAUAUCGAUAUUAGCUAUUCGUAGAUAAGCAAAGCUAAGAAUUAUUCGGAUAUUUUAUAAUACGAUUGGUUUUAAAUUCAAAUAACGUGGCCCACCGCGAUACGUCGCUAUAUGAUAUCAUCAGUCUAUUAAAUAGGGGCGUGACAGGUGGGAAAUGAAUUAUUGAUCGGGGUCACUAGAAACCCUCAAAUGGAUACAAUUAAUCCUCUAGUUCACCAAACAACGUAUAAGUACACUCGAUGUUAUCAUAGUAUUGGUGUGUUUCUAAAGAUGAAAGUGAUCUCCAAUACGACGUAUUUCAUUCUAAUCGAAAUUAAUCUCAAAUUAUUCAGAUAAAAAGUAUUUAAUAAAUUAAAUAUUUACUAUUUUAAGAAAUGAAAAAUUGAAAUAUGAAAAUCGUAACCAAAGUAACGAUUUUAUUCAAAAUGCAAUUAAUUUAAAAAAUUCAUAAAAGUUUUGAUUUAUUUCGCAAGUGCGCAUGCGCGAACGCCAUAGAUCGUAUAUUUGAAGUAGUUCAUGGUGCGCGACACGCCAGGAUGCGCACAAGGUCGGCCGGGCUGUCAAAAUCAGCUGACUCUCGGGUGACCAAUCAGCUGAUUCCUUCAACUUCUCAGCAGGAGACUUUCCUUCUGACUUCGAAGACUUAGAGGGCGCUACUUUACGAUUAGAAUUCUGAAUCAAUUAUUUCAAUUCUUUUUAUUUCUCCUUUUUUCAAAAUCAAUUUUUCUUAAAUCAAUUGUCUUUUAAACUAAUUUGAUUGUUCAUUUAAUUUAAUUGAUAAUUAAAAUUUAUAAUUAAAUUUUAAUGAUUGAAAAAUUGGAAAAUUUAUUUGAAUUGAAAUUUAAUACAAUUAUUUCUCUUAGUUAGAAAAUAAAAAAUUUAAUAAAUUUUCUUAUUAAAAGUUAAUAUAAUUAGAAACCACAUUAAAGAUCUUAUUAUGCUUUCAUUAAAUCAUUAAAAUGUGUUAAUUGUUAGUACUUAUUUUGACAUCAUCAUUUCCAUUGUUAUGAUUAAAUAUCCUAUAACAAAAAAUACAUAUUUAUCAUGGAAAUAAAUUUGAUUUCUGAUAAUUAAGUAUUCAUCGUUUAGAAUAAUUAAAAAUAGAAAUCCGAGUGACUUGAAGGACUUAUCAUUCAUAGUGAAACAAUAGACUCAUGAUGUGAAAAGUACUAUUCAAUGCUUCGAUAAUUAAGCGUUAUCUUUUACUGAUGCAUUGAAAAUUCUGCGCUGGAAAUAAUGCAUUGACGAUGUAUACCAUAGUUUCUGUUAUCUACAAUGCAAGCAGUAACGCACAUUAUAUAGUAUGUGUACAUUCACUGUUUUGAUAAUUAUAUCACGAUAGUGUAAUUGGAAUAAUUGCUUCGCGUUAUUCUGAUUAAAUCUUAAUGAACUCUCAGUUUCUCUGUCUGUGAUCAGCUUAUGACAAUCAACUGAAAUAGAUUAUGUUUGUUAAGUAACAAUUGUUUUUGAGUCAGAAUUUUCUGGUUUUAAGAUGUUAUUAUAGAUUUUUUUCUGAUGCUUUUUAUAAUACAAAUAAAUUUAAAAUCAAGAAAAAUUUUUAACAUCAAGAAAUAUUAUUUGCUCAAAUAUAAUAUAUUUAUAUUUCUCAACAAAUUUCAAUUCUUAUAUUGUAUAAAAAUUUAUCCAAUAAAAUUUAUUUCAUGAAUUUAUAAGAAAUAUAGUAAAGAUGUAUAUAGUUCAACAAACAAGAUCAACAGUAUCACAACUUUAGGUAGACUAAAUUCAAGGUUUCUGCACCUAAAAGGUUUUAAUGCAUUGUAUUAUAUAUCUUAUUAGAAUUCUAGUCUAUAAAACACAGGGUCAUUCGACUUACAAAUCAUUGAAUCCCCAAAAACAUCAAGAUAAUAAUUAGCCAUUAAAUAUGAUUCGAAACAGUAAUUUGAUAUUUAUAGUGGAAAUAAAGUAUUCAUUUUUUUUAGAAUAUUUAAAGUCUACAUGUAUAGUAAUAUAUUAUUAUUUAUGUGAAAAAUAAAAAUUAAAAAUACAUAAUUCAUAUGUAUAUACGUAAUUUAUAUUGAAUAUUUUUAAAAUCUUUUAAUUAAAAAUGAAUAAAAAUCAAUAUCCAAAAUAAAUAAAAGUACUUUUCAAAUCAUAAUUUCGCAAAUGAAUUUUAUAACCUGACUUUCAAGAUAUAUUUAUAUUUCUCUGUAGUAUAUCCGAGUACAGCUAACUCACUCAUCGCAGUUAUUUUAAUUUACGAUUUCAUUAUGUAUCGCAUCUAUCAACUACGUUCAAUAUAUAUCGAAGUAAAAUCGCUAUAUAUACUUAAAUUUCAAAAUUCAGAGGAUACAUUAUAUAAAAAAAUUAUUAAUUUUAUUUCUAUAUAUUUUUACAAUAUUUUGUAAUUUUUGAAGAAACGUAACAAAUGUCUUAAAAUUUUUUGAACGGUGCUGUGUAUAGAUCUAGCAGAUUUUUCAGUACAUAUGCAUAGAAUAGAGAAUCAAAGUGAAUAUAUUUGUCCUGAUGUUGUAAAUAUAUCCGCGCAACUUGGCGGAAAAUUUAACCGCCACGUCAUUCGAAGUUGCGUUCCGAGAAAACUCGCGCGAGCGCGGCAAAGAGGGAGUGCGACGAACGCUGUAAAAACGUCGCGUUGCGGCUCGUGAAAAAGGGUGGUCAAGGGGGACGUGGGGAAAGAAAUUACAUAAGAUGCGCGUUGGGACGACGGGAAUUGCAGCAUGCCUUUUUGGCAGGAAGAAACGUUUUCAUUCCGUCUAAUGAGCACGUUCGUCUUUCGUGUGUUAUCGAUGAGUUUUUCCUAUGCAGGAGCGUACAUAAAUUUAUUAAAUGAUCCCAACGGUGAAAUUAACAGUGCAUUGAUUUUUGAAUUUGAAAAAAUAAUAGAAAAAAGAUGAUGAAAAUUUUCAGAAUAAUUGGAACGAAAGAAAAGCAAUUAAUGAAGAGAUGCACUAAUAUUUCGUACGUUAGUGGUCAACUCGUAGCCUUGUACUCUAGAAGCACUAUGUACAUUGCAUAUAGACUGUUUGGAAGAGCGGAAAGAGGAAGGCAAUGCAUCGUCACGUAAUGCAAGCAUUAUGCAAUCUCGACCACUUAACAACAGCUGAUCACAUUUUUAACUUGCAUAAUUUUUUACAGCUACCAUGUAUAAAGAAUAAGAUUAUAUAUUAAUUUAAAAAAGUUAUAAAAAUAUUUUUUCACGCAUGAAAUAAAAUUUCAAUCGAAA
Molecule: long non-coding RNA, 5522 nt
Organism: Apis cerana (Asiatic honeybee)
Lineage: Eukaryota; Metazoa; Arthropoda; Insecta; Hymenoptera; Apidae
Source: RefSeq, a predicted model, not a curated record